RNAcentral lists this long non-coding RNA (397 nucleotides) under Anser brachyrhynchus (Pink-footed goose). Its description in RNAcentral is "lncRNA (ENSABRG00000019580.1)". The record is from RNAcentral. Lineage: Eukaryota; Metazoa; Chordata; Aves; Anseriformes; Anatidae.
CGCUAGCGUAACCUGUCCUCCCAGUUUCUCUGAAGUGCUGAACCGGCAGUGACCUGGCCUCACCUUCUGCCAUGGCAGGGACGGGGGACUGGAGGCCUGAUGGCCGUCUCUGUCACCCUGAUGUUGGGCACCAAAGUUGGAUGCAUGAAACCAGGCAGCAUGACAAACAUCCCCAAGGAAGACAGGUGCUUUGCAUCAAGAACAACGCUAUGACACCAGGCUCUCCUGAAAGGGACAUGGGACUGGAGUUAUGCUCUUCAGAUGUCUCCUGCUGCAGAGCUACAGGUUCUCAUGAGAUGGUAAGCAGCAACUCUUUGACAUCAUAGAGCAACUUUUCAGGAGCAUUUGAUUUUGUUAGUGGAGAAAUCUUUCUAAUUGUGGAUAUAAAUUUUCUGAU